This 577-nucleotide ribosomal RNA is filed under the name uncultured archaeon. RNAcentral's name for it is "bacterial SSU rRNA". It matches the Rfam family "Archaeal small subunit ribosomal RNA", at positions 280 to 859 of the family's 1478-position model. The record is from RNAcentral.
GAGGAGGAGCCCGGAGAUGGGCAUUGGGACAAGGGCCCAGGCCCUAUGGGGCGCAGCAGGCGCGAAAUCUCUGCAAUAGGCGAAAGCUUGACAGGGUUACUCUGAGUGAUUCCCGCUAAGGGGAUCUUUUGGCACCUUUAAAAAUGGUGCAGAAUAAGGGGUGGGCAAGUCUGGUGUCAGCCGCCGCGGUAAUACCAGCACCCCGAGUGGUCGGGACGAUUAUUGGGCCUAAAGCAUCCGUAGCCGGUACUGCAAGUCUUCCGUUAGAUCCACCUGCUUAACAGUUGGGCUGCGGGGGAUACUACAGCGCUAGGAGGCGGGAGAGGCAAGCGGUACUCGAUGGGUAGGGGUAAAAUCCGUUGAUCCAUUGAAGACCACCAGUGGCGAAGGCGGCUUGCCAGAACGCGCUCGACGGUGAGGGAUGAAGGCUGGGGGAGCAAACCGGAUUAGAUACCCGGGUAGUCCCAGCUGUAAACGAUGCAGACUCGGUGAUGAGUUGGCUUAUUGCUAACUCAGUGCCGCAGGGAAGCCGUUAAGUUUGCCGCCUGGGGAGUACGGUCGCAAGACUGAAACUUAA